Molecule: ribosomal RNA, 499 nt
Filed under: uncultured bacterium
Lineage: Bacteria
Description: bacterial SSU rRNA
Rfam family: Bacterial small subunit ribosomal RNA
Source: RNAcentral
ACGAACGCUGGCGGCGUGCCUAAUACAUGCAAGUCGAGCGGAAUGAUGAAGAAGCUUGCUUCUCCUGAUUUUAGCGGCGAACGGGUGAGUAACACGUGGGCAACCUACCUUGUAGAUUGGGAUAACUCCGGGAAACCGGGGCUAAUACCGAAUAAUCCAUUUUGCUUCAUGGCGAGAUGUUGAAAGACGGUUUCGGCUGUCACUACAAGAUGGGCCCGCGGCGCAUUAGCUAGUUGGUAGGGUAAUGGCCUACCAAGGCGACGAUGCGUAGCCGACCUGAGAGGGUGAUCGGCCACACUGGGACUGAGACACGGCCCAGACUCCUACGGGAGGCAGCAGUAGGGAAUCUUCCACAAUGGACGAAAGUCUGAUGGAGCAACGCCGCGUGAGUGAAGAAGGUUUUCGGAUCGUAAAACUCUGUUGUAAGGGAAGAACACGUACGAGAGUAACUGCUCGUACCUUGACGGUACCUUAUUAGAAAGCCACGGCUAACUACGUG